AUUGAACGCUGGCGGCAGGCCUAACACAUGCAAGUCGAACGAGUGGCGGACGGGUGAGUAACGUCUGGGAAACUGCCCGAUGGAGGGGGAUAACUACUGGAAACGGUAGCUUAUACCGCAUACCAUCGGAUGUUCCCAGAUGGGAUUUGCCCGUAGGUGGGGUAUCGGCUCACCUAGGCGACGAUCCCUAGCUGGUCUGCGAGGAUGACCGGCCACACUGGAACUGAGACACGGUCCAGACUCCUACGGGAGGCAGCAGUGGGGAAUAUUGCGCAAUGGGCGCAAGCCUGAUGCAGCAAUGCCGCGUGUAUGAAGAAGGCCUUCGGGUUGUAAAGUACUUGCAGCGGGGAGGCGUUACUCGCAGAGGAAGCACCGGCUAACUCCGUGCCAGCAGCCGCGGUAAUAC
RNAcentral lists this ribosomal RNA (406 nucleotides) under uncultured bacterium. RNAcentral describes it as "partial 16S ribosomal RNA". It matches the Rfam family "Bacterial small subunit ribosomal RNA", at positions 30 to 526 of the family's 1533-position model. The record is from RNAcentral.